AAAACGUAGAAAAAGAAGCAUGGCAACAACUGGCACAAAGCAAAGAAGAAGAAACAUGGUAACAAUCGGAAGACCAUAACACAGCAUGGAAGGGGAUUUACAGGACGGGGGAAUGAUGGAGGUCUUGGGACCAUUGUUAACAGAAAAAGGCAGAA
This is a long non-coding RNA of Melanotaenia boesemani (Boeseman's rainbowfish), 155 nucleotides long. RefSeq lists it as uncharacterized. NCBI's taxonomy places the organism in Eukaryota, Metazoa, Chordata, Actinopteri, Atheriniformes, Melanotaeniidae. The transcript has 2 exons. The record is from RefSeq and is a predicted model, not a curated record.